Xiphophorus couchianus (Monterrey platyfish) is the source of this 785-nucleotide long non-coding RNA. RefSeq lists it as uncharacterized. The record is from RefSeq and is a predicted model, not a curated record. The transcript has 3 exons. Lineage: Eukaryota; Metazoa; Chordata; Actinopteri; Cyprinodontiformes; Poeciliidae.
UGGAGGAGAGGAGUUAGAGGUUGGCUGGAGGAAGAAAAGAGUGAGUUGCCAAUGUGUAAAGUGAAACUCAUAUGGACUCGCAAGAACUUCGUUUGUGUUCGUGAGGUGGAAAUGUGCGGACAGGAUUCUCCCGUGAACCUGACGGAAUUGUGGAGUGGUGUGAAUGACGAACUCGAUUGAGAGGGGAUUAUCUAUCUGCUAGCUCAGCGGCUAAAGCUAACUGCCAACAGGACUUGGCUGAAGCAUUGGCGGCUUGCCAAUGCAAAGAGUAGAGACCUCGGUUGGGGUUAUAGGAACUCGAAGGAAGAAAUUCUGAUGGAAUCGUACUGGUUGUGGUGAGAACGUUUUUUUCCCGGACGCUCUCAGGAGUUUGGGGUCAUUCCUUACCAGGGACGUUCAUCUGCUCAUGGAUGUUGUGACUGAGGGGACUACCUCCUGAGAUGGAUCAAAGACUUAACAGGCUGAGUCAACCCCCAUUUCGUACUGAGACCUUUCAGCUGAUCACAAAAAGAGAAACAGAUGAAAUUGGUCAUUUGACCAGCGAAUUUUACCUGAGGUGGACUGAAGGCUACAAACGGUGAAGGAUGAGCUACAAAACCACGUAGACUAAGACAGACAGCCAGUUCUGCUACAAAAGGUGGAAAAAUAUCAUAAACUGUAUGUUGGUCCUGCAAUAACAAGCAGCGGCAAACACAAAACACAAGAAUGAAUAAUGUAUUUACAUGCACGCACAAACACAGCCAAACUGACUUACACAUGUGACACGCACGCAAUAACAAAUCACA